This 253-nucleotide ribosomal RNA is filed under the name uncultured bacterium. RNAcentral's name for it is "partial 16S ribosomal RNA". It matches the Rfam family "Bacterial small subunit ribosomal RNA", at positions 524 to 776 of the family's 1533-position model. The record is from RNAcentral.
UACAGAGGGUGCAAGCGUUGUUCGGAUUCAUUGGGCGUAAAGGGUGCGUAGGCGGCGCGGUAAGUCGGGUGUGAAAUCUCGGGGCUUAACUCCGAAACUGCAUUCGAUACUGCCGUGCUUGAGGACUGGAGAGGAGACUGGAAUUUACGGUGUAGCGGUGAAAUGCGUAGAUAUCGUAAGGAAGACCAGUGGCGAAGGCGGGUCUCUGGACAGUUCCUGACGCUGAGGCACGAAGGUCAGGGGAGCAAACGGG